GGGUGUAUAUUGCACAAUGGGCGCAAGCCUGAUGCAGCCAUGCCGCGUGUAUGAAGAAGGCCUUCGGGUUGUAAAGUACUUUCAGCGAGGAGGAAGGCGUUGUGGUUAAUAACCGCAGCGAUUGACGUUACUCGCAGAAGAAGCACCGGCUAACUCCGUGCCAGCAGCCGCGGUAAUA
Molecule: ribosomal RNA, 178 nt
Filed under: uncultured bacterium
Lineage: Bacteria
Description: partial 16S ribosomal RNA
Rfam family: Bacterial small subunit ribosomal RNA
Source: RNAcentral